Molecule: transfer RNA, 74 nt
Filed under: Dionaea muscipula
Lineage: Eukaryota; Viridiplantae; Streptophyta; Magnoliopsida; Caryophyllales; Droseraceae
Description: tRNA-Met
Rfam family: tRNA
About the family: Transfer RNA (tRNA) molecules are approximately 80 nucleotides in length. Their secondary structure includes four short double-helical elements and three loops (D, anti-codon, and T loops).
Source: RNAcentral
GGCGGAGUAGAGCAGCCUGGAAGCUCACGAGGCUCAUAACCUUGAGGUCGCGGGUUCAAAUCCCGUCUCCGCAU